Molecule: ribosomal RNA, 771 nt
Filed under: Staphylococcus saprophyticus
Lineage: Bacteria; Bacillati; Bacillota; Bacilli; Caryophanales; Staphylococcaceae
Description: bacterial SSU rRNA
Rfam family: Bacterial small subunit ribosomal RNA
Source: RNAcentral
CUCAGGAUGAACGCUGGCGGCGUGCCUAAUACAUGCAAGUCGAGCGAACAGAUAAGGAGCUUGCUCCUUUGACGUUAGCGGCGGACGGGUGAGUAACACGUGGGUAACCUACCUAUAAGACUGGGAUAACUUCGGGAAACCGGAGCUAAUACCGGAUAACAUUUGGAACCGCAUGGUUCUAAAGUGAAAGAUGGUUUUGCUAUCACUUAUAGAUGGACCCGCGCCGUAUUAGCUAGUUGGUAAGGUAACGGCUUACCAAGGCGACGAUACGUAGCCGACCUGAGAGGGUGAUCGGCCACACUGGAACUGAGACACGGUCCAGACUCCUACGGGAGGCAGCAGUAGGGAAUCUUCCGCAAUGGGCGAAAGCCUGACGGAGCAACGCCGCGUGAGUGAUGAAGGGUUUCGGCUCGUAAAACUCUGUUAUUAGGGAAGAACAAAYGUGUAAGUAACUGUGCACGUCUUGACGGUACCUAAUCAGAAAGCCACGGCUAACUACGUGCCAGCAGCCGCGGUAAUACGUAGGUGGCAAGCGUUAUCCGGAAUUAUUGGGCGUAAAGCGCGCGUAGGCGGUUUCUUAAGUCUGAUGUGAAAGCCCACGGCUCAACCGUGGAGGGUCAUUGGAAACUGGGAAACUUGAGUGCAGAAGAGGAAAGUGGAAUUCCAUGUGUAGCGGUGAAAUGCGCAGAGAUAUGGAGGAACACCAGUGGCGAAGGCGACUUUCUGGUCUGUAACUGACGCUGAUGUGCGAAAGCGUGGGGAUCAAACAGG